GAACGCUGGCGGCAUGCCUAAUACAUGCAAGUCGAACGGUAACGCGAGGAGCUUGCUCCUUGGCGACGAGUGGCGGACGGGUGAGUAAUACUUAGGAAUCUGCCCAGUAGUGGGGGACAACAUUCGGAAACGGAUGCUAAUACCGCAUACGCCCUACGGGGGAAAGCGGGGGAUCUUCGGACCUCGCGCUAUUGGAUGAGCCUAAGUCGGAUUAGCUUGUUGGUGGGGUAAAGGCCUACCAAGGCGAUGAUCCGUAGCUGGUCUGAGAGGACGAUCAGCCACACUGGGACUGAGACA
This 297-nucleotide ribosomal RNA is filed under the name uncultured Gammaproteobacteria bacterium. RNAcentral's name for it is "partial 16S ribosomal RNA". It matches the Rfam family "Bacterial small subunit ribosomal RNA", at positions 31 to 326 of the family's 1533-position model. Lineage: Bacteria; Pseudomonadati; Pseudomonadota; Gammaproteobacteria. The record is from RNAcentral.